RNAcentral lists this ribosomal RNA (595 nucleotides) under uncultured bacterium. RNAcentral describes it as "bacterial SSU rRNA". It matches the Rfam family "Bacterial small subunit ribosomal RNA", at positions 49 to 636 of the family's 1533-position model. The record is from RNAcentral.
UUACACAUGCAAGUCGAGCGGUAACAUUUCUAGCUUGCUAGAAGAUGACGAGCGGCGGACGGGUGAGUAACGCGUAGGAAUCUGCCUAGUAGUGGGGGACAACAUGUGGAAACGCAUGCUAAUACCGCAUACGCCCUAUGGGGGAAAGGAGGGGAUCUUCGGACCUUUCGCUAUUAGAUGAGCCUGCGUGAGAUUAGCUAGUUGGUGGGGUAAAGGCCUACCAAGGCGACGAUCUCUAGCUGGUCUGAGAGGAUGAUCAGCCACACUGGGACUGAGACACGGCCCAGACUCCUACGGGAGGCAGCAGUGGGGAAUAUUGGACAAUGGGCGCAAGCCUGAUCCAGCCAUGCCGCGUGUGUGAAGAAGGCCUUAGGGUUGUAAAGCACUUUCAGGAGUGAGGAAGGGCGUAUAGUUAAUACCUGUAUGUCUUGACGUUAACUCAGAAGAAGCACCGGCUAACUCUGUGCCAGCAGCCGCGGUAAUACAGAGGGUGCGAGCGUUAAUCGGAAUUACUGGGCGUAAAGCGCGCGUAGGCGGUUUGUUAAGUCGGAUGUGAAAUCCCAGGGCUCAACCUUGGAAUGGCACCCGAUACUGG